CUACUGAUGAGUCAUGGAACCCCGUCCAUACUCCUGCUGAUAGUGAGGUACGGGCCCAGCCCACCCUCACUCCUUCCCUAACUUGGGCCUCGCCCCUGAUCUGCUGCUACUGAGAUGUGGAACACCAUCCACACUCUGCUAUUGGUGAGAUACGGGACCUCGCCCACACUCACCUCCCUACCAGGCACAUACAAGUAUCACACAGACAACAAGUAUAAACUAUCACAUAAACCAUUCCUUGGGCACCCGCCCUCUAUCAUUGGACCUCGUCCCGAAUAUCAUACUAGCAUACUGUGCCUAGGGCUAACCCCCGGGUCUUCUACUCAUAACUACAUGGGCCGGCAUUGUGGCCGUAGACCCAUUCAUACAAAGGGAAACUCACCUGCACUGGCUGAACUGGCUGAUGAACCCACUAGCUGCUGCCCGGCAACUCUCUGAACUCCUGCUCCACUCGCUCCCCGAGCUACCAAUAUCAAUGCAACACUGAGUCUAACUGACCCCCGAAAGACAACCAAGUCAACUCUGGUCAAAGUCAAAGUCCUGGUCAAAGUCAACCUCCCAGGUCAACCCUACUCGCCGAGUCACCCUAUUGACUCGCCGAGUUCAUAUGUUCAGAGUCCUUCUAUUCGCGACUCGACUCGCCGAGUCAGUCCAUGACUCGCCGAGUCUACCGAUUACCGAGUCCUGACCUGUCCAACUCACCGAGUCUCCAUUCGACUCACUGAUUCGAGUCUCAACUCGAAGGGUUUGGGGUUUCGCGACAUGACUCGCCGAGUCCAAGACAACCUUCAAUAGACUCGCCGAGUUGUUCAUCCAACUCGCCGAGUUCCUACCCAACUUCAUCCGACUCGACGAGCUGUUCAUCCCACUCGUCGAGUUUCUCCAAAUCUUCAUGAUGCUGGCCAAGUCCAAUCAAAGGACUCGCCAAGUCCAUUCAGAUCUCGAAACAUGCAGAGGACUUUUGAGUCAUGCAGGGACUCCAAACCAUAGAUCCAUACUUCCAAAGCUCAAUCCCCACGUAAAGUUGCAAACUUUAUGUAUAACUAAAGAGAUCUAGGCUCAAAACAUACUAGGGUUUGGUUUAAGGACAAAAGGGCUUCACCAACUACUCAUCUUCUGAUGCUUUAUGACAUAUUGGACCAUCCCAACACUAGAUCUGAAGUGGCAACAACAUAUCUAAGCCCCUAACUCGAAUUGGGUCUCAAUCAACCAUAAAACCCCCAAAUAUCAUAAAAAAAAUACAUCUAGAUGCAAAGAAGGGAAAAUGGCAGCUUAAUACCUCCAAGAUGAACACAAACUGAAGUAGAUCUCGGAUAUACACCUCUCCUUUGAAGCAACCUUCUUGAUCUUCAAGUUCCUUUCCAAAAUUUCCUUCCUCCAAAGCUAUUUCUCUCAAAUGAUGGAACCUCACACGAAAUAUAGGGUUUACAGGUUCUCUAGGAUGAUACGGAGGCUGAGGGUGGGACAUAACACCCUUUAUAUAGGAUACAACUCCCGGAAUUAGGGUUUUCCUCGAACAGACCACACUCGCCGAGUCGCCUUGGCCGACUCGCCGAGUCGGUUGCUUACUCCUCGACCCGGAUCCCGCUCGGACUCGCCGAGUUCCUCCUUGGACUUGCCGAUUUGCCCCUAAAAAUUAGGGUUUUCUUUCCUUUCUUGGCCUUCCAGAUUUUGGGUGUUACAACUCUCCCCCACUUAAACUAAACUUCGUCCUCGAAGUUUGCCAUGGUCCACCGCCUGCGAUCUGCUUCCAAAACCCACCGAUUAUCCCAACACCAGCUGCCUACCUUCGCUGGUCUUCCACCUGGUCAUUCUGACUAACAUAAACCUCGCGGAUAAAACCCCAGGUCCAACCUGACCCUAAACAACUUAGAAACACAACUUACUCAACUGAAAAUCCUUCUUGUAUUCUCCAAGUACUGCACUUGAACUCAUAGGGGUUGACCCCUUCUUUCUUUACGCGAUUCCCUCGGCUUCCUAAGGCGAUGCUCCAUAUCCAACUAUUUCAUCUGUCACUGUGAAGGUCAUAUCCUUCACUAACUCCAUCACCCCCAGUAUUUCCAGUACGGGUCAUCCCCGUCAGUAACCGCUGACACUCUUUUCUCUGUCAUAACUUGGUGCCGAGCACCCCUCGAUUCAAUUAACUGAAUUCCACCAUACACUGCUUACCCGCAGUACUACUGACUGAAAAUUCUGCUAUUCCUUGUCUGCCUUCCGUAUGAACUGAGACCACCCUGGUCCCUACCAACCUAUCAAUGUCUGGAUUACCGGCUCCCACUGGUAGCUAGUCCCAACACCACUACUAGUCGCUCCCAAUGACUUCCGAAGAAACUUCGACCACCUAUAACUGCUCAAUCUAUUCUGCCAUUCAGGCACUACAAUCCUGGGAUCCCCGAUCCCCUAACUUGACACUAAGGUCCCUACCAGGUCCCACCUGUGCUGCUAAAACUCACGGGCCUCGCCCACGGGUCCCACCCGCCUCUAUCCUUCUAUUCCCACUAGUCUAAUCACUCUCGCUCGGGCCUCGCCCACGGGUCUCACCCAACCAUACUACUGAGCAACCCUGCUCCCAGGUCUCAUCUACACUGCUAAUCUCAUACGGGCCUCGCCCACGGGUCUCACCCAACUAUAUCCUGGAGCGGCCUCUCCCAAGGUCUCACCUCUCUAGGGCUAUACAGGCAAACUCCCUAUCAUUCUCAUCCACUACCCAUUCCUAAUCCCUAUCUGAUCACUAGGAGAUAAGGGCCUCGCCCCAACUCCGCUAACGAAGCUACUAAGGAAUGCUACGGCUUACCCAUAGUCUUACAUCGCCAUCCAUUGCUGACUGCUAGUGAAUGCUACGGCUGCCCCGUAGUCUUACAUCACUUUCUACCACUGACUGCUACUACGAGGGCACCCAUGUGCCAUUAGCGCUCAAGAUCCUCAUUCCGACUCCCUCGAGUCCUACGGGCGAUCCACAAACUGAAUUCUCAACCACGUACUAACCAUUACCAUCACACGCACUAGCAUAUGGGGAGUUUCUCAAACUCCCAACCCUAAAAUCCUCGAUCCAUCAAGCGCCGAACCACUUCUUUUCCUUCUCAGAGGUUGCGCACUCAUUCUGGGUCUGCAUGCUCCUACCUUUGCACACUCGGAGGAUUCUCCCCCACAUCGAUCCUGCUUACCCCUUGUUGCUCAAUACUUGAAAUAAAUCCUUGCUACCAUUCCAUAAUCGAUCUGCUGAGGAACUCAAGCUUACCAUAGCUAGGGAUCUAACCAAUCCAUUUCUAACACUAUACAACUCCGAUCUAGCGAGACAUACCAAGUCCCUCCCAAGCAUGCUACAGUUACUGCAUCCUAUGUAACCUUCUCCAAUAGGGCACAUCCCCUCACUACCAUUCGAAUAUCCAAGGUAUGCAGAUGGCAUAUAACUCGAUCACAAUCAAUCGCUCAAAAAUAAAUACUCAUACCGAUAAUGAUGCAGAACCAUCACAAUAUAAUCAUGCACAAAUAAAAUAACUGAAAACAGAAAUCGCAUACCUGCAACGUCCGGUGCUGAUCGCGCCUCUAAGGUAGUCAUCUGAAGAGCUCUGCCUCCUACCGCAGGCGCCUCUGCACGGCCCUGACAGCCAUCUGUGAUCCUCAAAGUUGUAGGGGAAGGUGCCAUCACCCGUCCUGCUGAGAACAAACUGGGGCACUGGGCCUUCUUGUGGCCCCGCUGGUUGCAGUGAAAACAUAACAGGUCUGAUCCUUGUGAGGUGGUAACAGUACAAUCCCUGCUGAAAUGACCAGUCCGACCGCACUUGAAACAGCCAGACUCACCACCGCUACCACUCCUGCACGCACCCCCGUGCGCCCUGCCAUACUUCCCGCACCGACUGUGAUCCUGAUAAUCCCUCGAUCUCGAAUCUAAUCCCUUGUGCCUUUUGCCCGAACCUGCAGCUACCUGAACCUCAUCCGGCUUCCUCUUCCUGAUCUGCUCCAACUCGAUUUCCCUCUCUCUAGCCCGAGAGAUCAUAUCUUCCAGCGUCUUACAGCUGGAUCUGCUCACGAACUCCCUGAUGUCAUCCCUCAACAUCUCAUGGUAUCGGGCCUUCUUCAUCUCCUCAUCCGCGACAUACUGCGGUACAAGAAGAGCCCUCUCCCUGAACUUGGCGGUGAUCUCCGCCACAGUCUCAGUGGUCUGCGUCAAAUCCUGAAACUCUCGUGCCAACUGCUGCACCUCAAUAAUCGGCGAAAACUCCGCCCUGAACCUGGCCGAGAAAUCGCUCCAAGUCAUCGCGUCCAACGCGGCAUCAUCCCCCAAAGCAUGACCAAUCUCCUCCCACCAAUCCCUCGCUCUGUCCUUCAGAAGACAGGAAGCGAGUCUAACCUUGUCCCCCUCGGGACACUUGCUCGUACGAAAAGCGUUGGCAACAUCAGCCAACCAUCUGCUGCUAGCAAUGGGGUCCCUAGCCCCAUGAUAAUCUGGUGCCCCGCAGGCUCUGAACUCUCGAAAUGUCAAGGUACGCACUCCCAUCAAUGCCAUCAUCUCAGUACGGAAGGCUCCCAGCCUCUCAUCCAAAAUCUCCAAUAUACCCUCCUUGACUGUGCCAAAGAUCACAGGAGUCCGAUCCAGAAUACUGCGCGUAACCUCGGCGGAUAUCAACUCCCUCAUUCACUCCUCGAGCUGCUCGGCCCCUGAACCCGAGCCUGAUCCCUCUCCGGCGCCUGAUCCGCCCGCUGGUCUCUCUCGCAACGUCACCAUGCUGAAACAUAUAACACAACCUCUAUCAGAAAACUCAUCACUGCUGCGAGACCAAACACACCUCCUACUAGGUUCCCGGUCUUAUCUCGGCCUUUCCCGAAUCAAGUACGGAUCCUCUGCUUUCAGUAGUACGGGCCCAUACUACCUUCCACAUCUAUUCGUACUUUCCUCAGGAAUUGCUUUGACUCCACCAGGUCCCUUAUCCACUACUACUGCUCCCAGCACUAUCUCAUCCUAGGCUUACCCUAGGAAAACCUCUGACUCAACUCAAACCAGUCCUCAGCUGCUGAAGGUCUCCUUGUGAUGCCAAUUAGCCAUCACCUGGAUACCAUCACAUGUGACGAGGCUCAGAUAAUCCUUCAAGUAAAAGACUCGUCCCUACAACGGUUGGACUCAAACAAGAGCUGCGCAAUAGGACCAAAUCCAGCACUCUGAGAUUAUUCAACCCUGAUCACACGUGACGUGUCGUAUCCACCUAAUGGCCAAGUCCCAUCACUCAGAAUCCCACAAUGCACAAAGAAAGCAGCAUUCGAACAAGGGGAAAAUCUAACCAUAACAUACUCAAGCAAUCAUAUCCACAUAGCAAGAAACUGAACUAGCAUGUAACACAAACUCAUAAACUCAGGCAUAACCUAGACAGACUAUCCCACCACUGUCUAAUCAGCACUAUCAUGCAGCUCAAAACAUAUAUAAUAGGCAUAUAAGGCAUCAUCCCUAGAUCCUUAGUCCUAAUCUAGCAUACUGUUCUAUCAACUGAUAAUCAAAUCAUAAACUUGUAUGGGUAUUUUGGGGUACUUACUUGAGCUCGGCUGAUUGCAUGCACCACACCUCUUUUCUCUUUUCAAAGUUCUUUUCUUUCUGAAUUACUUUUGCUUUUCUAAAACUGUUUUCUUUCCCAAAACCCUCUUUUACAAAACUGUCUUUUCACUUUGAAAACUUCUAUCCCAAUUCCUCGGUUUGAGUUCAGACACACCCGAGAGUUUGUCCGAAUCCCUCAAACCAAGGCUCUGAUACCAACUUGUAACGUCCCAAAAUUCAAGACUAAAAAUUUCUUUUAAUAAAACUUUACUUUAAGCAUAUUCCUCAUUUCAAAACAUAAACAGAGUAUUAGUUUCCAAAAUACAUGUUCGUUAUCAAAGUAAACAUUCCCAGGCUGUCCUAAACUAUGGUGUGUGCAAUGCGAUCACCCCGAGCUCUUCCCUCCGCUACCGGAAGUACCUGAAACCAAAACUCAAAACCGUAAGCACGAAGCUUAGUGAGUUCCCCACCCUACUACAUACCAUGCAUAACCACAUAUUGCACAUACUGGGCCUCGCCCCCUACCUUAGGCCUCGCCCGCUACAACGUCCCCGCCGCUCCAGGCCCCGCCUGGCUUCGAGCCACGCUCGGAUACAAAUCUGUUUCACUUAGGCCUAGCCUGUAACAGGGCCUCGCCCAUUAACAUAUAAUAGCACGUACGCAUAUCACAUCACAUCACAUAAUCUAAACACAUACUAACAGAUCCUCUCCUAAGGCCUCGCCUAUUUCUGGGCCCUGCCCUUGUCAUGCUACUGAUGAGUUAUGGAACCUCGUCCAUACUCCUGCUGAUAGUGAGGUACGGGCCCAGCCCACCCUCACUCCUUCCCUAACUUGGGCCUCGCCCAUGCUCUGCUGCUACUGAGAUGUGGAACACCAUCCACACUCUGCUAUUGGUGAGAUACGGGACCUCGCCCACACUCACCUCCCUACCAGGCACAUACAAGUAUCACACAGAC
RNAcentral lists this long non-coding RNA (6480 nucleotides) under Lactuca sativa (garden lettuce). RNAcentral's name for it is "long non-coding RNA (LSAT_LNC002809)". Lineage: Eukaryota; Viridiplantae; Streptophyta; Magnoliopsida; Asterales; Asteraceae. The record is from RNAcentral.